CAGGGGUUUGGAGGGCGGAGAGCAGGGGUUUGGAGGGCGGAGGGCAGGGGUUUGGGGGGAGUAGGGUAGGAGCUUGGAGGGAGGAGAGCAGGGGUUUGGAGGGAGGAGACCAGGGGUUUGGAGGGAGGAGAGCAGAGGUUUGUAGGAAGGAGAGCAGAGGUUUGGAGGGAGGAGAGCAGAGGUUUGUAGGAAGGAGAGCAGAGGUUUGGAGGGAGGAGACCAGGGGUUUGGAGGGAGGAGAGCAGAGGUUUGGAGGGAGGAGAGCAGAGGUUUGGAGGGAGGAGAGCAGGGGUUUGGAGGGAGGAGAGCAGAGGUUUGGAGGGAGGAGAGCAGAGGUUUGGAGGGAGGAGAGCAGAG
Oncorhynchus tshawytscha (Chinook salmon) is the source of this 357-nucleotide long non-coding RNA. Lineage: Eukaryota; Metazoa; Chordata; Actinopteri; Salmoniformes; Salmonidae. The record is from Ensembl.